This 445-nucleotide ribosomal RNA is filed under the name uncultured bacterium. Its description in RNAcentral is "bacterial SSU rRNA". It matches the Rfam family "Bacterial small subunit ribosomal RNA", at positions 330 to 792 of the family's 1533-position model. The record is from RNAcentral.
ACCAGACUCCUACGGGAGGCAGCAGUGGGGAAUAUUGCACAAUGGGGGAAACCCUGAUGCAGCAACGCCGCGUGAGUGAAGAAGUAUUUCGGUACGUAAAGCUCUAUCAGCAGGAAAGAAAAUGACGGUACCUGACUAAGAAGCCCCGGCUAACUACGUGCCAGCAGCCGCGGUAAUACGUAGGGGGCAAGCGUUAUCCGGAAUCACUGGGUGUAAAGGGAGCGUAGACGGCUGUGCAAGCCUGAAGUGAAAGGCGGGGGCCCAACCCCCGGACUGCUUUGGGAACUGUACGGCUGGAGUGCAGGAGAGGUAAGUGGAAUUCCUAGUGUAGCGGUGAAAUGCGUAGAUAUUAGGAGGAACACCAGUGGCGAAGGCGGCUUACUGGACUGUAACUGACGUUGAGGCUCGAAAGCGUGGGGAGCAAACAGGAUUAGAUACCCCGAUA